Molecule: ribosomal RNA, 950 nt
Filed under: Staphylococcus aureus
Lineage: Bacteria; Bacillati; Bacillota; Bacilli; Caryophanales; Staphylococcaceae
Description: bacterial SSU rRNA
Rfam family: Bacterial small subunit ribosomal RNA
Source: RNAcentral
AUUUUAUGGAGAGUUUGAUCCUGGCUCAGGAUGAACGCUGGCGGCGUGCCUAAUACAUGCAAGUCGAGCGAACGGACGAGAAGCUUGCUUCUCUGAUGUUAGCGGCGGACGGGUGAGUAACACGUGGAUAACCUACCUAUAAGACUGGGAUAACUUCGGGAAACCGGAGCUAAUACCGGAUAAUAUUUUGAACCGCAUGGUUCAAAAGUGAAAGACGGUCUUGCUGUCACUUAUAGAUGGAUCCGCGCUGCAUUAGCUAGUUGGUAAGGCAACGGCUUACCAAGGCAACGAUGCAUAGCCGACCUGAGAGGGUGAUCGGCCACACUGGAACUGAGACACGGUCCAGACUCCUACGGGAGGCAGCAGUAGGGAAUCUUCCGCAAUGGGCGAAAGCCUGACGGAGCAACGCCGCGUGAGUGAUGAAGGUCUUCGGAUCGUAAAACUCUGUUAUUAGGGAAGAACAUAUGUGUAAGUAACUGUGCACAUCUUGACGGUACCUAAUCAGAAAGCCACGGCUAACUACGUGCCAGCAGCCGCGGUAAUACGUAGGUGGCAAGCGUUAUCCGGAAUUAUUGGGCGUAAAGCGCGCGUAGGCGGUUUUUUAAGUCUGAUGUGAAGCCCACGGCUCAACCGUGGAGGGUCAUUGGAAACUGGAAAACUUGAGUGCAGAAGAGGAAAGUGGAAUUCCAUGUGUAGCGGUGAAAUGCGCAGAGAUAUGGAGGAACACCAGUGGCGAAGGCGACUUUCUGGUCUGUAACUGACGCUGAUGUGCGAAGCGUGGGGAUCAAACAGGAUUAGAUACCCUGGUAGUCCACGCCGUAAACGAUGAGUGCUAAGUGUUAGGGGGUUUCCGCCCCUUAGUGCUGCAGCUAACGCAUUAAGCACUCCGCCUGGGGAGUACGACCGCAAGGUUGAAACUCAAAGGAAUUGACGGGGACCCGCACAAGCGG